Molecule: ribosomal RNA, 1392 nt
Filed under: Triticum aestivum (bread wheat)
Lineage: Eukaryota; Viridiplantae; Streptophyta; Magnoliopsida; Poales; Poaceae
Description: partial small subunit ribosomal RNA
Source: RNAcentral
AUGUUGCGGCAGAUGCGAUGGCUGACGGACAGGGAAGGGAGGUGGGAGCUGGACGUGGAGUCCCCGGCGACGAUGGAGGGCACGGCGCGCCCGGUCCCGGGCGACCCGCUGCCCCUCGGUCUCUCGCGGGGGCCCCGCGUCACCCGCACCAAGCAGCUCGACUUCUUCCACCGCUUCAUGGCCUCCCCGCUCGUCCCCUCCUUCUCCGCCUCCCGCGCCGGCCUCUCCCUCCAUCACGCGCACCUCCUCCAUCUCGCCCACAACUGGUCAUUUACUAUCUUGGAGCAGCUUCAUGUACAGAAGCUCGUGACAGCCGUGAAGGAGAAGCUGUCAAAUCAUCGACAAGGGGUUCCCUGGUCCAAUGAUCUCGAGAGGCAUUUGCAUGACGUCAUUUCUCUAGGUGUUGGCACGGAAUUCUUGAUCACACCAGACACGGCAUUGCUGCUGGAGUUGUACAAUAUCAACAAGGGGGACCGAGGCAAAGCGAUUAUUCACCACAAGCUUCCUCAACAAAAUAUUACAUUAGCAGCAUCUUGGCCUGGAUUAUUUGUUGAUAAACAGGGGGUGUACUGGGAUGUGCCUUUAUCAUUGUCAGCUGAUCUUGCUUCAGUCGGCUCCAGUUCUGGAUUGAGUUAUCAUCUAUUGUUACAACAGAAUAGUGGGGAGCCAAAAUGUUUUGGUGGUGAUGAAACCAAUGAUGUUCCUCUCGCUCUGCUACCUGGUUUGUGUGCUAAAGCAGCUAUUUCCAUCAAGAGAAGUAUUGAUGCUUGGAGGAAGAAAGAAGACAAGCUAAAAAUGGUUCAGCCUUAUGAUGCAUUUCUCUCAGACCCUCAUGUUUCAUUCACUGGAAUUGUUGGUGCUGUAGCCAGUGGUUCUUUGGGAGAUUGUUCAAAAAGAAUUAUAGUGCCGGACGAAAUGCGAAAAAGCAAUGCCUUCAGAGUAUUCCACGAGAGGAAUAAGUUUGCUGCAUUUGCAGACCUCUUUGCUUCUGUUACUUUUACAGCUCAACAUGGAAAUUUCCAGAGGCUUUUCCUGGAUUUGACCAGGGUCAGUGCCCGAUUAGAUAUAUCCUCAGGAUCUUUGUUCUUACGUGGUGCUUCUCGAUUAGCGCAAGAUUUUUUCUUCUCUAGACGGCCUGAUUUAGAGACAUUCUGUGAUGUUUGUCCAGAUGUGAUUGUUUCUCUUCAACAACAGAUAGUUGGACCAUUCAGCUUUCGUGUUGAAUCUUCUGUUGCCAUUGACCCAAGAAGUCCAGACCAUUUUGUUCGAGUGGGCGACUCGGUCUUCGCCAUUGAUUGGGCCCUGAAGGUUCUGGGUUCAGCAAAGGCCACAGCUUGGUAUUCGCCCAAGCAUCAGGAAGCAAUGGUGGAGCUUCGUUUCUUUGAGGUCUGA